Delphinapterus leucas (beluga whale) is the source of this 1260-nucleotide non-coding RNA. The record is from RefSeq and is a predicted model, not a curated record. Lineage: Eukaryota; Metazoa; Chordata; Mammalia; Artiodactyla; Monodontidae.
CGUUUGCCUCCCCUACCGUUUCUGGCAGUGAAGAUGGGAUAGCACUGACUGGGUCACUGCUUAUCACUCUCAGGGCUGAAGCUGAGAGAUCCUGGGACAUUUGACAAACGCUGGAAGUUGCCAGAUACUCAGAAUUACUGACAGCAUCCAGACAAAGAAAGAAAAAGGACAUCUGAGACACAAGGGCACUAAUUACAAACUGCUAGUACAUGAGCAACUCAGUUUACUCCUGGAUGAUGAAAACUUUCUGGAGGUGUCACACUUAGCAAGCCAUGACUUACCUAUGACACUACCUAGAAUGCAGGCAACUUCACUGGAACUGGAAAGAUAUAUGGAGUCUGGUGUAUGUUAGUAGCAAAUGAUGCAACAGUGAAAGAUGUGUCACUAUACCCAGUUAUGGUGAAGAAACAACUGUGAGCACAUGAUAUGCAAUCAAGAACCACCUUGUAAUUGUGUACCUCAUCGAUAGUGGAGGAGCAUUCUUGCUACUAUGUAAGUGAUAAUCAGAAUGAUGAAUUAUUAGUCAUUUGAUUUCUGUAUAGAUUCAUAUCAGUUGUUAUCACUGGACAUUGUUGAUGAUUUUCACUCAUGGCAGGAGGUUCAUAAUCUUUGAAUUCUGGAAAAUUGAUGAUAUUCUCUCUCAGCUAUGCUAAUUCCUAGCUAUGAAAGUAAUUAAGGGGAUUAAUUUCUUUAAGUCUGGGGUCUUUUUUCUUCAAUAAUAUGAUGGAGCUAACUAAUGAUAAUGUGGUAAUGUUUCACCUAUUUGGAAUUCUGCAAUCAGUUUCAAUAAAUAUUUUCUGAGUACUUGAUUUGGAAUAGGUAUUUUGCUGGGGGCUGGGGAUAUAAUGAUGAAUAAGGUAAGCAUGUUUGGAGCUUUUAUUUUGGUAGGAAAGAUAUAGAUUAAUUAACUAAUAAUACAUAUGUUAGAUAUUUCAGUUAAAUCAGCUGUGGGAUCAUGCACUAGGAUAUCUAACUUAGUCUAGGAAUCAGAGUGUCCUUCCUGAGGAACUGAUACUUUAGCUAAAAUUGAGGGAUGGAUAGGUGUUAACUGGGUGGAGAUGAGGACAAGGUGUAGGGGAUGGAGAUGAGCUUUACAGGUAAAUGAAAAAGUAUGUGGGGCUUUCCUGGUGGCGCAGUGAUUGAGAGCCCGCCUGCCGAUGCAGAGGACACGGGUUCGUGCCCCGGUCUGGGAGGAUCCCACAUGCCGCGGAGCGGCUGGGCCCGUGAGCUAUGGCCACUGGACCUGCGUGUCUGGAGCCU